AUUGAACGCUGGCGGCAUGCCUUACACAUGCAAGUCGAACGGUAACAGGUCUUCUGAUGCUGACGAGUGGCGCACGGGGGAGUAAUACAUCGGAACGUGCCCGAUCGUGGGGGAUAACGAGGCGAAAGCUUUGCUAAUACCGCAUACGAUCUACGGAUGACAGCGGGGGAUCUUCGGACCUCGCGCGGGCGGAGCGGCCGAUGGCAGAUUAGGUAGUUGGUGGGUUAAAAGCUUACCAAGCCGACGAUCUGUAGCUGGUCUGAGAGGAUGAUCAGCCACACGGGGACUGAGACACGGCCCAGACUCCUACGGGAGGCAGCAGUGGGGAAUGUUGGACAAUGGGCGAAAGCCUGAUCCAGCCAUGCCGCGUGCAGGAUGAAGGCCUUCGGGUUGUAAACUGCUUUUGUACGGAACGAAAAGCCUUUUUCUAAUAAAGAGGGGUCAUGACGGUACCGGAAGAAUAAGCACCGGCUAACUACGUG
Molecule: ribosomal RNA, 482 nt
Filed under: uncultured bacterium
Lineage: Bacteria
Description: partial 16S ribosomal RNA
Rfam family: Bacterial small subunit ribosomal RNA
Source: RNAcentral